This is a long non-coding RNA of Saccostrea cuccullata (small rock oyster), 198 nucleotides long. RefSeq lists it as uncharacterized. The record is from RefSeq and is a predicted model, not a curated record. The transcript is spliced from 3 exons. NCBI's taxonomy places the organism in Eukaryota, Metazoa, Mollusca, Bivalvia, Ostreida, Ostreidae.
GUGCUAUAUCACAUUUCCUCGACCAAAUGAAUAUUGCUCAUUCAACCUCGCAGUCUUGCCAUUCGCAUACAGCUGUUUGGCAGGAACUUGCUGGUAUUGUAGAACACAACCAUGAUGGUCACAACUGUGCAGAGAACUUGAUACGGCAUUUGUUUGAAUCUGUACGCCAUCAAGGAGACCCAUGUUCUUGCCACGCCG